Molecule: ribosomal RNA, 253 nt
Filed under: uncultured bacterium
Lineage: Bacteria
Description: partial 16S ribosomal RNA
Rfam family: Bacterial small subunit ribosomal RNA
Source: RNAcentral
GACGGAGGGUGCAAGCGUUGUUCGGAUUGACUGGGCGUAAAGGGCGUGUAGGCGGUUGGUCAAGUCCGAUGUGAAAGCCCGGGGCUCAGCUUCGGAAGUGCAUCGGAAACUAGCCAGCUGGAGCGCGAUAGAGGAGGGCGGAAUUCCUGGUGUAGCGGUGAAAUGCGUAGAUAUCAGGAGGAACACCGGCGGCGAAGGCGGCCCUCUGGAUCGUUGCUGACGCUGAGACGCGAAAGCGUGGGGAGCGAACAGG